This 402-nucleotide ribosomal RNA is filed under the name uncultured bacterium. RNAcentral's name for it is "bacterial SSU rRNA". It matches the Rfam family "Bacterial small subunit ribosomal RNA", at positions 353 to 772 of the family's 1533-position model. The record is from RNAcentral.
AGUGGGGAAUAUUGGACAAUGGGGGCAACCCUGAUCCAGCAAUGCCGCGUGAGUGAUGAAGGCCUUCGGGUUGUAAAGCUCUUUUGGCGGGGACGAUGAUGACGGUACCCGCAGAAUAAGCCCCGGCUAACUUCGUGCCAGCAGCCGCGGUAAUACGAAGGGGGCUAGCGUUGUUCGGAAUUACUGGGCGUAAAGGGCGCGUAGGCGGCCUUGUUAGUCGAGUGUGAAAGCCCUGGGCUUAACCCGGGAAGCGCGCUUGAUACUGCAGGGCUUGAGUGUGGGAGAGGUUGGUGGAAUUCCCAGUGUAGAGGUGAAAUUCGUAGAUAUUGGGAAGAACACCGGUGGCGAAGGCGACCAACUGGACCACAACUGACGCUGAGGCGCGAAAGCGUGGGGAGCAAA